CUUCUUGCUUUGAUAUGAAGUCGUGCCUGCCCACUGAGAAGUUGAAUGGCCGCGGUAUAUUGACCGUGCAAAGGUAGCAUAAUCAUUAGUCUCUUAAUUGGAGGCUGGAAUGAAUGGUUUGACGAAACAAUGACUGUCUCGGGAUGAUAUAUUGAAUUUUACUUUUGAGUUAAAAGGCUCAAAUGAAAGUAGGGGACGAGAAGACCCUAUAGAUCUUGAUAAAAUUACAUUGAAAUUUGUGUUUAGUGGUUUUUAAUAGGUAUUUAAUGUAUUGUAUUUGGUUGGGGUGACAAGAGAAUAAUAUAACUUCUUUGUAUUUAACUAUGAUGGUUGGUUAAUUGAUCCUAUAUUAUGGAAUGAAGAUGAAGAUACCUUAGGGAUAACAGCGUAAUGUUAUUGGAGAGUUCAUAUUGAUAAUAAAGAUUGCGACCUCGAUGUUGGAUUAAGAAAAUUGUUAAGUGCAGGAGCUUAAUGUAUUGGUCUGUUC
Molecule: ribosomal RNA, 487 nt
Filed under: Acheta rufopictus
Lineage: Eukaryota; Metazoa; Arthropoda; Insecta; Orthoptera; Gryllidae
Description: partial 16S ribosomal RNA
Rfam family: Bacterial large subunit ribosomal RNA
Source: RNAcentral